This 72-nucleotide transfer RNA is filed under the name Candidatus Omnitrophota bacterium. RNAcentral describes it as "Candidatus Omnitrophica bacterium (groundwater metagenome) tRNA-Val". It matches the Rfam family "tRNA". From Rfam's summary of the family: Transfer RNA (tRNA) molecules are approximately 80 nucleotides in length. The record is from RNAcentral. Lineage: Bacteria; Pseudomonadati; Candidatus Omnitrophota.
GGGCGGGUAGUUUAGUGGUAGAACGUCUGCUUUACACGCAGAAGGUCGCAGGUUCAAUCCCUGCCUCGCCCA